Elaeis guineensis (African oil palm) is the source of this 1533-nucleotide non-coding RNA. Lineage: Eukaryota; Viridiplantae; Streptophyta; Magnoliopsida; Arecales; Arecaceae. The record is from RefSeq and is a predicted model, not a curated record.
AAAUAUAUAUACGUGACUUACCGAUCGAGGAGUGGUCACCGGAGACGAUGCGAGAGACGGAGAUUAGGUGGAUACGAUUUGUGAUGCGAGGGGUUGAGGGGAGAAGGGAGCGGCUUCACACGACGGAAAAGAGCAACAUAUCACAAUGGCUCAUUAACUUAUAAGUUGGAAUAAGUGUUCUACCAUCUCAAUGUUGCAGAAUCAUUGGAAGGGCUGAAAGAACGAUGGCACACUUUUGCAGAUCCUGCUAGGCUUUUUAGUUUAAGUCACUGAGUGGUAUAUUUAGCUCUUUGAAAAAAAUAUGGCCAGCACUGUCCCUAGAGUCCGUUUUGUCAGAUGUCCGAAAUGUCUUAAGGUUCUCACAGAAUUUGCUGAUGUUCCAGUGUGCAAGUGUGGUGGAUGUAGCACCAUCCUUCGGGCAAAAAACUGUAUUUCUGGUGGACAAAAUGAGAUUUUGUAGGAUCGAUUGGGAACACUUUACUAGAACUUACCAGACAGUGGCUUCUUGAACUAUGGAUUGUCCUAUUCAAGGAAGGAUAUGGUUUCUAUCUCUUCAAAAAUGGAAAGCGAAAGAGAGAAACCAGUAUUUGUAAAUAUUCAAUCAUCUUGUCCAAAUGGUUUAAUCGAUGUGCAUGAGAAGGUAGAAUCAUCAGAGCAUCAAGAAAAUAGAACUUAAGAAAGGGGCCUUGAUCAACACACCCCUCAACCGACUGAUCUUCUUGGGCCUGACACAAAUGACACAAAUAUUGAAGUGGAUAAGAGUUCAAAGCUUUGUCAACAGGGUCGUGAAAGCUUAAAGCUUAGUCAUAGAAUAGAAGAUUCCAUAGAAUCUACUGACCUUGAUACUUCCUUAGAGGAGGACACAGCUGGUGGAGUGUAUGAUGAUAAACAUGAUAAUAUUUUGAGAUCAACUACCAGAAACUCUCAUGCUUAUGAUGCCAGUGUCUCCUCUAUUGAUGAUGGCUGCAGUGAUCAUGUUUGUAAUAAUCAUCCCAUCUUACCUGAAAGUGGUUUUACACAGAAAAAGGCUCUGGAAUCGAUUGAUGCUGAAGGAAAAGAAGCAGAAGAUGAUGACUCUGAGGAGAGAAAGAUGGUUGCUGAUAUUGGAGCAAAACCCAUCCAGUAAGUCCAGAUGAAUCCAUAUGCAGUUCUAGGCAUUACCUUAAGUUUCUUCUUGAAGACAAACUAAUUUUCUAUAUCUUGUACCUUAAGUCCGGCUGAAUCCAGAUGCCAUCGGAGGUUGGGGAUGACCAUUUGAUUUCAAAAUGGUCGUCGCUGGAAUCUCAUCGAAGAAUAAUCACCAGAAGCAAGGGAUGCAAAAUGACGGAUGCUGAAAUAUGGAGGGCCGGCAUCAUAUUUUGAAGGGAGGGAUGCGCAUUUCCAUCUUUUCGAAGGGCAACAUAACGGCAUUAUCACUUAAAUGGAUGGAAGAGGCACAUUGAUACAUUUGGAUAAUUUGGAGAGUCUAAUUGAAACAUUUUAAAUUUGAGAGGGUGUAAAUAAAAUUGAGGUAAACUUGAGGAGGUGUCCGUA